Molecule: ribosomal RNA, 463 nt
Filed under: uncultured Bacteroidales bacterium
Lineage: Bacteria; Pseudomonadati; Bacteroidota; Bacteroidia; Bacteroidales
Description: bacterial SSU rRNA
Rfam family: Bacterial small subunit ribosomal RNA
Source: RNAcentral
GGCCUACGGGAGGCUGCAGUGAGGAAUAUUGGACAAUGGAUGGAAAUCUGAUCCAGCCAUGCCGCGUGCAGGAAGACGGCCCUAUGGGUUGUAAACUGCUUUUGUAUGGGAGCAAUAAGGGCUACGUGUAGUCCGAUGAGAGUACCAUACGAAUAAGCAUCGGCUAACUCCGUGCCAGCAGCCGCGGUAAUACGGAGGAUGCGAGCGUUAUCCGGAUUUAUUGGGUUUAAAGGGUGCGUAGGCGGCGACAUAAGUCAGUGGUGAAAUAUUCCGGCUCAACCGGGAGACUGCCAUUGAAACUGUGUUGCUAGAAUAUGGUUGCUGUGGGUGGAAUGUGUGGUGUAGCGGUGAAAUGCUUAGAUAUCACACAGAAUAUCGAUUGCGAAGGCAGCUCACAAAGCCAUUAUUGACGCUGAGGCACGAAAGUGUGGGGAUCAAACAGGAUUAGAUACCCGAGUAGUCU